Molecule: non-coding RNA, 1291 nt
Organism: Paramuricea clavata
Lineage: Eukaryota; Metazoa; Cnidaria; Anthozoa; Malacalcyonacea; Plexauridae
Source: the annotation of a GenBank genome assembly
GCCAGAAUAAAUAUAAAUUGUAUUGAGCGAGGGUUAUAUUUUCGUUUUAAAAGCAUACCGUGGGAGUUUAUGUUCAAAAUUUUGGUUUUAAUGACCAGAGCAUUCAAGGAGAAGGUAUGUAGUUUCAAUUUAUUUAUUUAAAAGUCAAAGUAAAUGCUCGUAGGCGCAUUUUUUCUUCGAUAUUGUUCAUGGAGAACCGAACCCAGUAGCUAUCGCCUAUCCGUACAAUAGCACAGACAGUAGUUUUAAUAUAGUUUUAAGUUUCGAUGUUUUCUGUCUAUCUUUAGCAGUGAUUGAAUAACAAAUCAUAAAUGGACAUCCUUAUUGCGCCUCAAUAUCCUAAACUAUUAAUAAGAGUGUCUAAAUGUUUGGCUCGCGAACAGUAACUUUAGUCAUUUAAUUAAGCCAUUAAGGCUAUAUUUAGUCUUGUAAACCAGAGCAGCGUUAACACAUGUCCAGUAUAUUAUUUAAAGAUGUGUGGCCUUGGUGUUAUUUAAAGAUGUGUGAUUUUCUAUCCUUUGGUUUAGAUGUGGCUAAGUCUCUGUUGGCAAAUUUUAUGCUGGAGUAUAUUCGCACUCACAUUGCCAUUGGAAGGUGAUGGGAAUGGCUUUGAUCAUCGUCAAAAUGUUGGCUCCAACACCAGGGCACUUUGUGUAAACAGAAAAUUGAUCAAAAUGUAUUUUUAUUAAAACAAGAAUUCUGAUUUACAAGAUUGUAUGGAUAUAUUACAUCUAAUGCAAUGGGUCGGGAUGGAAUCUGCCAUGUAUUAUUAAAUUACUGUAUUUGUUUCCACUCUACCAUAUGGAUGUGAGGAACAUUGUAUGUCAUGAUAUUACAAACCUGUAUAUGUACAGCAACCUAACAAGUUAUUGGACAAAAAUGAUGGCCAACAAUAGACACUAUGAGCACUGAAUGAAUACGAUAAUUUACGUAUUGGGCAGAAAACAAUGGUAACGCUUGUUUACCAAAUGAACACAAACAAAAGGCUGUCAUUACUUGCAACAAACUUAAACAUACCAUGUUAAAAGAAGUCUAUCUACCUCCUCCGCAGGCCAUACAGCUCGUAAUGAGUAUGCCCGUUCACAGGUUGAAAUUUGAGACUAAGGCUUUUUUGUUUCCCACCACUUUUCUUGGAAGGCCUGCACAGGAGGUAGGAGUAGGGCAUCUAUUUGUUCUUCCUAAUUACUUUCUUCCUAAUUAUGUUCUGCCCAAUUAUUUUCAUAAGUGGAGACUAAUUAAGUGAUUUUUAUUGACAUUGUAUAAAUAUAAAAUUCCGAAGUACACUUUACAG